RNAcentral lists this ribosomal RNA (467 nucleotides) under uncultured bacterium. RNAcentral describes it as "partial 16S ribosomal RNA". It matches the Rfam family "Bacterial small subunit ribosomal RNA", at positions 28 to 507 of the family's 1533-position model. The record is from RNAcentral.
GACGAACGCUGGCGGCGUGCUUAACACAUGCAAGUCGAACGGAAAGGCCUCUUUCGGGGGGUACUCGAGUGGCGAACGGGUGAGUAACACGUGAGUAACCUGCCCUUGACUUUGGGUUAACUUCAGGAAACUGGGGCUAAUACCGGAUAGGAGCUCCUGCUGCAUGGUGGGGGUUGGACAGUUUCGGCGGUUGGGGAUGGACUCGCGGCUUAUCAGCUUGUUGGUGGGGUAGUGGCUUACCAAGGCUUUGACGGGUAGCCGGCCUGAGAGGGUGACCGGCCACAUUGGGACUGAGAUACGGCCCAGACUCCUACGGGAGGCAGCAGUGGGGAAUAUUGCACAAUGGGUGGAAGCCUGAUGCAGCAACGCCGUGUGCGGGAUGACGGCCUUCGGGUUGUAAACCGCUUUCGCUCAUGACGAAGCUUUGUGUGACGGUAGUGGGUAAAGAAGCACCGGCUAACUACGUG